AUUGAACGCUGGCGGCAUGCUUUACACAUGCAAGUCGAACGGUAACAGGCCUUCGGGUGCUGACGAGUGGCGAACGGGUGAGUAAUGCAUCGGAACGUACCCAGAGGUGGGGGAUAACGCAGCGAAAGCUGUGCUAAUACUGCAUGUGAUCUGAGGAUGAAAGCGGGGGACCGAGCAGCAAUGUUUGGCCUCGCGCCUUUGGAGCGGCCGAUGUCGGAUUAGCUAGUUGGUGGGGUAAAGGCCUACCAAGGCGACGAUCCGUAGCUGGUCUGAGAGGACGACCAGCCACACUGGGACUGAGACACGGCCCAGACUCCUACGGGAGGCAGCAGUGGGGAAUUUUGGACAAUGGGCGCAAGCCUGAUCCAGCAAUGCCGCGUGCGGGAAGAAGGCCUUCGGGUUGUAAAACGCUUUUGGCAGGAACGAAACGGUGUCCGCUAAUACCGGGCGCUAAUGACGGUACCUGCAGAAUAAGCACCGGCUAACUACGUG
RNAcentral lists this ribosomal RNA (492 nucleotides) under uncultured bacterium. Its description in RNAcentral is "partial 16S ribosomal RNA". It matches the Rfam family "Bacterial small subunit ribosomal RNA", at positions 29 to 507 of the family's 1533-position model. The record is from RNAcentral.